RNAcentral lists this transfer RNA (98 nucleotides) under Skermanella aerolata. RNAcentral describes it as "tRNA-Sec". Lineage: Bacteria; Pseudomonadati; Pseudomonadota; Alphaproteobacteria; Rhodospirillales; Azospirillaceae. The record is from RNAcentral.
GGCCGGUCGAGUGGCUGGGCGACACCACCAACGCUUUCAUCGCGGUCGCGCUGAUGGACAUCUGGCAGUGGACGCCGUUCUGCGCGCUGGUCCUGCUG